GAUGAACGCUGGCGGCGUGCCUAAUACAUGCAAGUCGAACGGCCAGGGCACAGAGAACAGAAGUCAGAAGACCGAAAUUGCGGUCUGUUAUCUGGUUUCCGUCUUCUGUGCUCUGGCAGUGGCGGACGGGUGAGUAACACGUUGGUACCUACCCUCUAGUGGGGAAUAACUGGCCGAAAGGUCGGCUAAUACCGCAUAACACCGCAAGGUUAAAGCAGAAAUGCGCUAGAGGAGGGGCCUGCGUCCGAUUAGCUAGUUGGUAGUGUAAUGGACUACCAAGGCGACGAUCGGUAGCUGGAUCGAGAGGUUGACCAGCCACACUGGGACUGAGAUACGGCCCAGACUCCUACGGGAGGCAGCAGUAAGGAAUCUUCCACAAUGGACGAAAGUCUG
RNAcentral lists this ribosomal RNA (393 nucleotides) under uncultured bacterium. Its description in RNAcentral is "bacterial SSU rRNA". It matches the Rfam family "Bacterial small subunit ribosomal RNA", at positions 28 to 385 of the family's 1533-position model. The record is from RNAcentral.